This 640-nucleotide ribosomal RNA is filed under the name uncultured Alphaproteobacteria bacterium. RNAcentral's name for it is "bacterial SSU rRNA". It matches the Rfam family "Bacterial small subunit ribosomal RNA", at positions 224 to 882 of the family's 1533-position model. Lineage: Bacteria; Pseudomonadati; Pseudomonadota; Alphaproteobacteria. The record is from RNAcentral.
GAUCGGCCCGCGUCUGAUUAGCUAGUUGGUGGGGUAACGGCCUACCAAGGCAACGAUCCGUAGCUGGUCUGAGAGGAUGAUCACCCACACUGGGACUGAGACACGGCCCACACUCCUACGGGAGGCAGCAGUGGGGAAUAUUGGACAAUGGGCGCAAGCCUGAUCCAGCCAUGCCGCGUGAGUGACGAAGGUCUUCGGAUUGUAAAGCUCUUUUGGCGGGGACGAUAAUGACGGUACCCGCAGAAUAAGCCCCGGCUAACUUCGUGCCAGCAGCCGCGGUAAUACGAAGGGGGCUAGCGUUGUUCGGAAUCACUGGGCGUAAAGCGCACGUAGGCGGAUGUGUCAGUCAGGGGUGAAAUCCCGGAGCUCAACUUCGGAACUGCCUCUGAUACAGCACGUCUUGAGUCCGGAAGAGGUGGGUGGAAUUCCUAGUGUAGAGGUGAAAUUCGUAGAAAUUAAGAAGAAACCCCGUGGCGAACGCCGCCCACUGGUCCGGUACUGACGCUUAAGUGCGAAAGCGUGGGGAGCAAACAGGAUUAGAUUCCCCUGUAGUCCCCGCCCUAAACGAUGGAUGCUAGCCCUCCACAAACAUGCUUGUUGGGGGCCCACCUAACGCAUUUAGCCUCCCCCCGGGGGAGUA